Molecule: long non-coding RNA, 273 nt
Organism: Homo sapiens (human)
Lineage: Eukaryota; Metazoa; Chordata; Mammalia; Primates; Hominidae
Exons: 3
Source: RefSeq, a predicted model, not a curated record
GGGAAUAGAUUUGGUGUGAGAUAAAACCUGUACGCAUUUAUGGGAUGUCUCUGAGUGUUCAAAAAUGUUUUGCUGAUGAGUAAUUAUUUUCUAGCCUUGAGCAAAUAUUGACAAUUUUCAAAGUAAUUCUGGAUUACUACAAUUUAAACUGUAUAAUUCUCCUCCAAGACUAAGGAUGUUCUCUGACAGCAGCUGCAUCCAUGUUAAUGUGAUACUUAAAUGUUCCCUAAAGAGUUAAACAUGUACCCUAAUUCUCUACAAGAUACAAUGCAU